UCCCAAACAUGUUUUAGGGUAUAAUUAGGAAGAUUGCAUGCGUUCGUUGCGAAAAAAUCCACCCGAGUUUCGCUACCCGGCAAUAGUGCAUUCGGGUGCCGAAAUGCACCCGUUUUGCAUCAUUUUUCGUUCCGGAACCGAAUGCUCAAAAACACUCCCAAACAUGUUCUAGGGUAUAAUUAUGAAGAUUGCAUGCGUUCGUUGCGAAAAAAUCCAAUCGAGUUUCGCUACACGGAAAAAGUGCAUUCGGGUGCCGAAAUGCACCCGUUUUGCAUCAUUUUUCGUUCCGGAACCGAAUGCUCAAAAACACUCCCAAACAUGUUUUAGGGUAUAAUUAGGAAGAUUGCAUGCGUUCGUUGCGAAAAAAUCCACCCGAGUUUCGCUACCCGGCAAUAUGCAUUCGGGUGCCGAAAUGCACCCGUUUUGCAUCAUUUUUCAUUCCGGAACCGAAUGCUCAAAAACACUCCCAAACAUGUUCUAGGGUAUAAUUAUGAAGAUUGCAUGCGUUCGUUGCGAAAAAAUCAACCCGAGUUUCGCUACCCGUAAAUAGUGCAUUCGGCUACCGAAAUGCACCCGUUUUGCAUCGUUUUUCGUUCCGGAACCGAAUGCUCAAAAACACUCCCAAACAUGUUUUAGGGUAUAAUUACGAAGAUUGCAUGCGUUCGUUGCGAAAAAAUCCACCCGAGUUUCGCUACCCGGCAAUAUGCAUUCGGGUGCCGAAAUGCACCCGUAUUGCAUCAUUUUUCGUUCCGGAACCGAAUGCUCAAAAGCACUCCCAAACAUGUUCUAGGGUAUAAUUAUGAAGAUUGCAUGCGUUCGUUGCGAAAAAAUCAACCCGAGUUUCGCUACCCGUAAAUAGUGCAUUCGGCUACCGAAAUGCACCCGUUUUGCAUCAUUUUUCGUUCCGGAACCGAAUGCUCAAAAACACUCCCAAACAUGUUGUAGGGUAUAAUUACGAAGAUUGCAUGCGUUCGUUGCGAAAAAAUCCACCCGAGUUUCGCUACCCGGCAAUAUGCAAUCGGGUGCCGAAAUGCACCCGUUUUGCAUCAUUUUUCGUUCCGGAACCGAAUGCUCAAAAACACUCCCAAACAUGUUCUAGGGUAUAAUUAUGAAGAUUGCAUGCGUUCGUUGCGAAAAAAUCCACCCGAGUUUCGCUACCCGGCAAUAUGCAUUCGGGUACCGAAAUGCACCCGUAUUGCAUCAUUUUUCGUUCCGGAACCGAAUGCUCAAAAACACUCCCAAACAUGUUCUAGGGUAUAAUUAUGAAGAUUGCAUGCGUUCGUUGCGAAAAAAUCAACCCGAGUUUCGCUACCCGUAAAUAGUGCAUUCGGCUACCGAAAUGCACCCGUUUUGCAUCAUUUUUCGUGCUGUAACCGAAUGCUCAGAAACACUCCCAAACAUGUUCUAGGGUCUAAUUAGAAAGAUUGCACGCGUCCGUUGCGAAAAAUUCCACCCGAGUUUCGUUACCCUCGAAAUAGUGAAUUCGGGUGCCGAAAUGCACCCGUUUUGCAUUGAUUUUCGUGCCGAAACCGAACGCUCAAAAACACUACCAAACAUGUUCUAGGGUAUAAUUAGGAAUAUUGCAUGCGUUCGUUGCGAAAAAAUCCACCCGAGUUUCGCUACCCCGGAAAUAGUGCAUUCGGGUGCCGAAAUGCACCCGUUUUGCAUCAUUUUUCGUUCCGGAACCGAAUGCUCAAAAACACUCCCAAACAUGUUCUAGGGUAUAAUUAUGAAGAUUGCAUGCGUUCGUUGCGAAAAAAUCCAAUCGAGUUUCGCUACACGGAAAAAGUGCAUUCGGGUGCCGAAAUGCACCCGUUUUGCAUCAUUUUUCGUUCCGGAACCGAAUGCUCAAAAACUCUCCCAAACAUGUUUUAGGGUAUAAUUAGGAAGAUUGCAUGCGUUCGUUGCGAAAAAAUCCACCCGAGUUUCGCUACCCGGCAAUAGUGCAUUCGGGUGCCGAAAUGCACCCGUUUUGCAUCAUUUUUCGUUCCGGAACCGAAUGCUCAAAAACACUCCCAAACAUGUUCUAGGGUAUAAUUAUGAAGAUUGCAUGCGUUCGUUGCGAAAAAAUCCAAUCGAGUUUCGCUACACGGAAAAAGUGCAUUCGGGUGCCGAAAUGCACCCGUUUUGCAUCAUUUUUCGUUCCGGAACCGAAUGCUCAAAAACACUCCCAAACAUGUUUUAGGGUAUAAUUAGGAAGAUUGCAUGCGUUCGUUGCGAAAAAAUCCACCCGAGUUUCGCUACCCGGCAAUAUGCAUUCGGGUGCCGAAAUGCACCCGUUUUGCAUCAUUUUUCGUUCCGGAACCGAAUGCUCAAAAACACUCCCAAACAUGUUCUAGGGUAUAAUUAUGAAGAUUGCAUGCGUUCGUUGCGAAAAAAUCAACCCGAGUUUCGCUACCCGUAAAUAGUGCAUUCGGCUACCGAAAUGCACCCGUUUUGCAUCGUUUUUCGUUCCGGAACCGAAUGCUCAAAAACACUCCCAAACAUGUUUUAGGGUAUAAUUACGAAGAUUGCAUGCGUUCGUUGCGAAAAAAUCCACCCGAGUUUCGCUACCCGGCAAUAUGCAUUCGGGUGCCGAAAUGCACCCGUUUUGCAUCAUUUUUCAUUCCGGAACCGAAUGCUCAAAAACACUCCCAAACAUGUUCUAGGGUAUAAUUAUGAAGAUUGCAUGCGUUCGUUGCGAAAAAAUCAACCCGAGUUUCGCUACCCGUAAAUAGUGCAUUCGGCUACCGAAAUGCACCCGUUUUGCAUCGUUUUUCGUUCCGGAACCGAAUGCUCAAAAACACUCCCAAACAUGUUUUAGGGUAUAAUUACGAAGAUUGCAUGCGUUCGUUGCGAAAAAAUCCACCCGAGUUUCGCUACCCGGCAAUAUGCAUUCGGGUGCCGAAAUGCACCCGUAUUGCAUCAUUUUUCGUUCCGGAACCGAAUGCUCAAAAGCACUCCCAAACAUGUUCUAGGGUAUAAUUAUGAAGAUUGCAUGCGUUCGUUGCGAAAAAAUCAACCCGAGUUUCGCUACCCGUAAAUAGUGCAUUCGGCUACCGAAAUGCACCCGUUUUGCAUCGUUUUUCGUGCUGUAACCGAAUGCUCAGAAACACUCCCAAACAUGUUCUAGGGUCUAAUUAGAAAGAUUGCACGCGUUCGUUGCGAAAAAAUCCACCCGAGUUUCGCUACCCGGCAAUAUGCAAUCGGGUGCCGAAAUGCACCCGUUUUGCAUCAUUUUUCGUUCCGGAACCGAAUGCUCAAAAACACUCCCAAACAUAUUCUAGGGUAUAAUUAUGAAGAUUGCAUGCGUUCGUUGCGAAAAAAUCCACCCGAGUUUCGCUACCCGGCAAUAUGCAUUCGGGUACCGAAAUGCACCCGUAUUGCAUCAUUUUUCGUUCCGGAACCGAAUGCUCAAAAACACUCCCAAACAUGUUCUAGGGUAUAAUUAUGAAGAUUGCAUGCGUUCGUUGCGAAAAAAUCCACCCGAGUUUCGCUAC
RNAcentral lists this long non-coding RNA (3479 nucleotides) under Setaria viridis. RNAcentral describes it as "long non-coding RNA (SVIR_LNC006925)". Lineage: Eukaryota; Viridiplantae; Streptophyta; Magnoliopsida; Poales; Poaceae. The record is from RNAcentral.